CUGUAAGCCUGUGAAGGUGUGCUGUGAGGCAUGCUGGAGGUAUCAGAAGUGCGAAUGCUGACAUAAGUAACGAUAAAGCGGGUGAAAAGCCCGCUCGCCGGAAGACCAAGGGUUCCUGUCCAACGUUAAUCGGGGCAGGGUGAGUCGACCCCUAAGGCGAGGCCGAAAGGCGUAGUCGAUGGGAAACAGGUUAAUAUUCCUGUACUUGGUGUUACUGCGAAGGGGGGACGGAGAAGGCUAUGUUGGCCGGGCGACGGUUGUCCCGGUUUAAGCGUGUAGGCUGGUUUUCCAGGCAAAUCCGGAAAAUCAAGGCUGAGGCGUGAUGACGAGGCACUACGGUGCUGAAGCAACAAAUGCCCUGCUUCCAGGAAAAGCCUCUAAGCAUCAGGUAACAUCAAAUCGUACCCCAAACCGACACAGGUGGUCAGGUAGAGAAUACCAAGGCGCUUGAGAGAACUCGGGUGAAGGAACUAGGCAAAAUGGUGCCGUAACUUCGGGAGAAGG
Molecule: ribosomal RNA, 504 nt
Filed under: Escherichia coli
Lineage: Bacteria; Pseudomonadati; Pseudomonadota; Gammaproteobacteria; Enterobacterales; Enterobacteriaceae
Also listed under: 1 other name
Description: bacterial LSU rRNA
Rfam family: Bacterial large subunit ribosomal RNA
Source: RNAcentral